This 1281-nucleotide long non-coding RNA is filed under the name Cricetulus griseus (Chinese hamster). RNAcentral's name for it is "lncRNA (ENSCGRG00015029855.1)". Lineage: Eukaryota; Metazoa; Chordata; Mammalia; Rodentia; Cricetidae. The record is from RNAcentral.
CUUCAAAUAAAACUAAGUUCAAUACCAACACACUAAAUAUUAUCAGGAGAAGCUGCCCUGAUGCGGUACAGCUGUGCAUUCCCAUUCUGUGGUGGUUCUGUGACAGCCUCGGAAACACCAGAGUGUAGAAAGUAUCCAUCCCCACAUUUGUGGGGCUCUGGACUUUUUCUGCUUCUUGCUAAGUCAGGGUCUAUCCCACAGAGGGACUGUGUGCCAGAAGCAGGUGGGAAAGUGACAGAGCCCAACAGAGUCAAGGCCAGCCAGGAGUGGGAAAGAAUGAGAGCCUUUGAGUUGGGAAUGACCAGAAAGUGUUUGGUAAUCUUUAUCUUUUCUUUCUUUUACUUGAGAUGUAAUCUCACUAUGUAGCCUUGGCUGGCCUGCAAUUCAGACAUCUGCCUUCCUCUGCCUCCUAAGUGCUGGAACUAGAGGCGUGCACUACCAUACCAGGUAUGUUUGUCAAUCUUAUCCAAUGUGGUCCCCAUGGAGGUAAGAGGUCAGGAACAUAGCUGGAAAAAGCUUAGUGAGUCUCAGAUGUCAGGGUGCUCCUGUCACUCCCAAUAGGAUUCAAACAAGAGGAAGGAUUUCCCAUGCCCAAGUGUCAAUGGGGCACAAGAAUGAAACCUGUCCCUUCACUUCCUUCCUCAAAGAGGAGGACAACUUGGUUUCAGCUGAAGACCUGGCCAACCCUUUCUUUAGCUGUCAUGUCCUGACAUCAAAAUGCACUAAAAGGUUACUUUUGACAUGCCCCAUGUAUUCAUCACAAACACAGGGCCUGAGCAGAGAGAACCUCACUGGAUCAAGAACCACAACUGGCCAGAUGGGUAGUGAUGCAUGCCUUUAAUCUCACCACUCGGGAGACAGAGGCCAAGUUCCACAACAAUGUGGCCGUUUGUCCAUCAAAAAUCUGAAUCUAGAAGAUGGAAGUGACUGGCAACCAGGCCCUGCCUCCUUUGAUCCUGAGAUUUUGGGGGGCAUUUUUCUUUAAAUGUGCUUCUAUCUUUGAUCUUAUUCAGUUCUCCUGACCCAAAGGUGACUGAUUUCCCCAGGGCAUCAGGACAGAGUAGAGAGUUCCAAAGGUCAUCCAUAUUUUAUCGCCAGAUAGUAGAAGAAAUUGGGGUGCAGACCCCCAGCAAGCAGUCUUGCAGACCACAUGAGUACAGAACUCAACUUGAAACCAUGACUCCUUUACACCAUGGCCUGUAAGCUCUUGGCAAAACAGCCCAAGUUGUCAGGCGUGUGCUGCUUUUCAGCAAAAGCAAACUCAGUUCAAAUUUGCUGUCC